CAGUCGCCGCGGUAAUACGAAGGGGGCUAGCGUUGUUCGGAAUUACUGGGCGUAAAGCGCACGUAGGCGGAUCGAUCAGUCAGGGGUGAAAUCCCAGGGCUCAACCCUGGAACUGCCUUUGAUACUGUCGAUCUGGAGUAUGGAAGAGGUGAGUGGAAUUCCGAGUGUAGAGGUGAAAUUCGUAGAUAUUCGGAGGAACACCAGUGGCGAAGGCGGCUCACUGGUCCAUUACUGACGCUGAGGUGCGAAAGCGUGGGGAGCAAACAGGAUUAGAUACCCCUGUAGUCCCUGUCUCUUAUAC
Molecule: ribosomal RNA, 301 nt
Filed under: uncultured bacterium
Lineage: Bacteria
Description: partial 16S ribosomal RNA
Rfam family: Bacterial small subunit ribosomal RNA
Source: RNAcentral